Long non-coding RNA from Engraulis encrasicolus (European anchovy), 1298 nucleotides. RefSeq lists it as uncharacterized. Lineage: Eukaryota; Metazoa; Chordata; Actinopteri; Clupeiformes; Engraulidae. The record is from RefSeq and is a predicted model, not a curated record. The transcript is spliced from 3 exons.
AGCGUGCUGAAGGUGCAUUAACAAAGUCUCUUCUGCCUGUUGAACACGUACAACCUAUUUUCAACUCCUCGAAGCUUCAUCAUGAGUAAUUAUCAGGUCACCACUCAGAUCGCCAAUCAAUCUCCGUUCACUCUUACCGAUGUCAGUUAUUUUGACAACCAUGGAACAUGGCAGACUAAUUUGCCUGACAGAAUCACUCCAUCUAUGACCAUCACGGCUCUGUUCGUCCAAACUGUGGUAGCAUAUGGAGCCUCCGGAGUGUUCAACUACAAGCUGUGGGAUGACUGUACAUCAAAGAACUAUGACAUAGCAAUAAUGUUCAAUGAUCCGAUUGGCCAUCCCAACAACUUUGCCAUUGGAAUUUUUGACUGUGAUGAUAUAGAAGUUAAUCAAUACCUUUACAACCACAUGCAAAACGACAAAAGUAAAAAAUUUGCGAGAUGUCAGUCUACUCAAUUUGGAUCUUGUUCACACUCAAGAGAUUACAUUACUAUAACAGGGACAAUGACAGGCUAUCGCCUUUCGGUCCUGAAAAUACAAAUAAUACAGAAUGGUGCAUGUCUGACGAAGAGCAAGAACUUUGAGGUAAAGCCUCAACUGUCUGUCUCAACCAAGCCUGCAGCAGCCUGAGCAGAGUACAGAGGGCUGAUGACUCAGUUGACAUACAGUGCAAGUAGAGAUUGCCCAUGUCUUCACUGCCCUCUGAAACAAAGUUCAUUCAUGACUAGACUAAUAGUUAACUAUUAAUUAAAAUAACUGGAUUAAAAACCGUGAUUGUCUUGCUUUCAAUAAUUGUGCAUCCCUAAUGUAGAAUAUUAGCGAUGCUUUGUGUAUUUUCUUAAUAUGUGGGAGCAACUCAUUAGUUAAAAAUCAAGGUCUUUUGAUGUUAAUUUCCUGUCAAAAAAGUGUACCAGUAGUCAUUUCUUUUGGGCUUCAUAAGACAGUGAGGAAGUCACUCCAAUGGGUUUGGGCAAACACGUUAAUCUGUUUAAAACUUUGAAUGCAAUCAGUCUGUGGUAUAUCGGAUUUGCAGUUAAUGCAGUUAAUCUUUGUUUAAUCAACUUUGAAUAUUACACUAUUAUUAUGGUGCAUGUGGAUGUAUGUUAAUCACAAAUGAAAUGUGCACCGUCAAAAUGAUCGGCUAUUGUUUGAUAUUAGUAAUAUAUAUUAUUUUAUUUCACCUACAUUGUUUUGUUUCAGUCAGUUUUAAGACACAUGUAGGCCUACUAUACAAAGAUUCCACUUUGCACUUGGUUAAACAAUGAAGCCUAUUACAAUAAAAAGAUAAUGAUUUACAA